CAUGCAAGUCGAACGAGAAUCUGUGGAAAGAGGAUUCGUCCAAUUGAAGCAGAGGACAGUGGCGGACGGGUGAGCAACGCGUGAGGAACCUGCCUUUCAGAGGGGGACAACAGUUGGAAACGACUGCUAAUACCGCAUAACAUAUAGAUGUCGCAUGGCAUUUAUAUCAAAGAUUUAUCGCUGAAAGAUGGCCUCGCGUCUGAUUAGCUAGUUGGUGAGGUAACGGCCCACCAAGGCGACGAUCAGUAGCCGGACUGAGAGGUUGAACGGCCACAUUGGGACUGAGAUACGGCCCAGACUCCUACGGGAGGCAGCAGUGGGGAAUAUUGGGCAAUGGGCGCAAGCCUGACCCAGCAACGCCGCGUGGAGGAAGAAGGCUUUCGGGUUGUAAACUUCUUUUGUCAGGGACGAGUAGAAGACGG
Molecule: ribosomal RNA, 422 nt
Filed under: uncultured bacterium
Lineage: Bacteria
Description: bacterial SSU rRNA
Rfam family: Bacterial small subunit ribosomal RNA
Source: RNAcentral